This 102-nucleotide microRNA precursor is filed under the name Marmota monax (woodchuck). Lineage: Eukaryota; Metazoa; Chordata; Mammalia; Rodentia; Sciuridae. The record is from RNAcentral.
AGUGCAAUUCCUGGGAUAUAAGUUAAAUGCAUACUUAGUUUUAAAAGAAAUUGCCAGAAAAUUUUCUAGAGUGCUGUACCAAUUCACAUUCCCACCAGUAAU